Molecule: long non-coding RNA, 452 nt
Organism: Metopolophium dirhodum (rose-grain aphid)
Lineage: Eukaryota; Metazoa; Arthropoda; Insecta; Hemiptera; Aphididae
Exons: 3
Source: RefSeq, a predicted model, not a curated record
CGGCGAUGGCAGUGUCCAUUUGGCUUGCGUUCGACAGGCGGCAGUGAUGAGUGGCCAUUGGCGUUUAUUGCACACUAUAUACGCAUCGCCUGUUCAACAUUAAAUGCCAAACAGCCACGAUGUUCGUAAAAAGAAGGAUUACUCCACAGAAGGCAUAUAAUCAAAACCAUUCAAUGUAAACGGCCGUUAUUCUGAAAUGAAGUAAUUGACUAUGACGGUAACAGAAAAAGACAUAUUAUUAUGUCAUAGAAAAAUCAAGAUAUAAACGUGGACAAAAAUGCAAACGAUCAUAAACAACUAUGCAGAUGGCUGGUUGGAGGACUCAUUAGCCAGACGCAUUAAACGGUCAAGAGGACGAUUUUGACAAUAAUACCGUAGCACAUCUGGAGACUACGCAUAAAGACCGAUGGAGUGAGUGGAACGCUGAGAAAAUCAGUAGUUUAUACACGAGA